Molecule: non-coding RNA, 536 nt
Organism: Camelina sativa (false flax)
Lineage: Eukaryota; Viridiplantae; Streptophyta; Magnoliopsida; Brassicales; Brassicaceae
Source: RefSeq, a predicted model, not a curated record
CUGGAUUCCAAAAGGAUUGAAUCGAAUAUGAAUCUUCUUUUCUGGAUAAAAAACCAAGAAGCUUAAAUGAAAGAUAAGCAAAAAAUCCUUUCGAAUUGUGUUUAUCCAUCUACUCUGAUGUAUUCAUAACUCUAAUAUUUAUGUUUUGUCUGGUCAGGGUAAAAUUUCUUUGAAUUCGACGCUAAUUGGACUCGGCAAUUGGAUUGAAGGAGGAGUAUGGACAUAUUGGGUGUGCUAAUCGCAAUACCUUUUGGUUAACAUAAAAGUUUUAAAUGAAAGUUACAAAUACCUUACAAAAUGGGACGUGUAGUGAAGAGGAAAUCUAUACACUCUCCUGGUAAGUACUAUUCAGGUUUUACAGGUUUUAUAGCAAAAAAGACCAAAAUACAAGGAAAAUAUGUUUCAGGACAGAUUCAGAGCUCUGUAGUACGGCCCAAUUUCGAAGAACUUCCAGAACUCAAAUUAUAUCAUGCUUGGUGUCUAUCGAAUAUAGCUGAGAGAGUCAUCUUUCUCCUCGAAGAAGAAUCAAGUCAAUC